Molecule: ribosomal RNA, 472 nt
Filed under: Salmonella enterica subsp. enterica serovar Typhimurium
Lineage: Bacteria; Pseudomonadati; Pseudomonadota; Gammaproteobacteria; Enterobacterales; Enterobacteriaceae
Description: partial 23S ribosomal RNA
Rfam family: Bacterial large subunit ribosomal RNA
Source: RNAcentral
GAUUCGUCACACUAUCAUUAACUGAAUCCAUAGGUUAAUGAGGCGAACCGGGGGAACUGAAACAUCUAAGUACCCCGAGGAAAAGAAAUCAACCGAGAUUCCCCCAGUAGCGGCGAGCGAACGGGGAGGAGCCCAGAGCCUGAAUCAGCAUGUGUGUUAGUGGAAGCGUCUGGAAAGGCGCGCGAUACAGGGUGACAGCCCCGUACACAAAAGCGCAUGUGCUGUGAGCUCGAUGAGUAGGGCGGGACACGUGGUAUCCUGUCUGAAUAUGGGGGGACCAUCCUCCAAGGCUAAAUACUCCUGACUGACCGAUAGUGAACCAGUACCGUGAGGGAAAGGCGAAAAGAACCCCGGCGAGGGGAGUGAAAAAGAACCUGAAACCGUGUACGUACAAGCAGUGGGAGCACCCUUCGGGGUGUGACUGCGUACCUUUUGUAUAAUGGGUCAGCGACUUAUAUUCUGUAGCAAGGUU